RNAcentral lists this transfer RNA (69 nucleotides) under Esox niger (chain pickerel). Its description in RNAcentral is "tRNA-His". It matches the Rfam family "tRNA". From Rfam's summary of the family: Transfer RNA (tRNA) molecules are approximately 80 nucleotides in length. Their secondary structure includes four short double-helical elements and three loops (D, anti-codon, and T loops). The record is from RNAcentral. RNAcentral also lists the same sequence under 2 other names. Lineage: Eukaryota; Metazoa; Chordata; Actinopteri; Esociformes; Esocidae.
GUAGAUGUAGUUUAAUAAAAACACUAGAUUGUGAUUCUAAAGACAAAGGUUAAAAUCCUUUCUUCCACC